ACGCUCGACACCUACGGGAGGUAGCAGUGGGGGAUAUUGCACAAUGGAGGAAACUCUGAUGCAGCGACGCCGCGUGAGGGAAGAAGGUUUUCGGAUUGUAAACCUCUGUCUUCGGUGACGAAAAUGACGGUAGCCGAGGAGGAAGCCACGGCUAACUACGUGCCAGCAGCCGCGGUAAUCUGAGCGGGCUGGCAAGGC
Molecule: ribosomal RNA, 198 nt
Filed under: uncultured bacterium
Lineage: Bacteria
Description: partial 16S ribosomal RNA
Rfam family: Bacterial small subunit ribosomal RNA
Source: RNAcentral